Falco peregrinus (peregrine falcon) is the source of this 3132-nucleotide long non-coding RNA. RefSeq lists it as uncharacterized. Lineage: Eukaryota; Metazoa; Chordata; Aves; Falconiformes; Falconidae. The record is from RefSeq and is a predicted model, not a curated record. The transcript is spliced from 2 exons.
UGGAUUUGUAUAAACUAGAACAAUGCAGUGCAUGCAAAAUUUUCUGCUUAUAGAGAGGUUUCCAUGUGGAGAAAUCAUUAAAGCUUUUCACAAAUUGUCUUUUUACACAGGAACCUUUUAUCUGGUAAUGGAAACCUUAAGUGGCUAGACAAAUAUAUUUGGGAGGAGAUAGUGAAAAAUAAUUCUAGAUGUUUUCUGAGCUAAUAAGAUUUGUUCUUUUUAUGAACCUUUGAAAACUUGCAUGGUGUGGCAGAAAAUUUGUCCAAAAUUUCAUCCUGAAACACUUUUAUAUGAAGAAAAAAAGAUUCAAUUAUUUGAAAGUGGGAUUUUCAAGUCAGAGUUCCUUGUUCUAGCAGAUAUCCUAUCAUUACAGGAUUCCAAAUGCUUUGGAUUUGGAAAGCAUCGGGCAGAAAGCCUCCUGCACAGGGGAGACUGUGAAACACCUAAGAGGCAUCUGGAUGAUACAAAACCUAAAAAUCAUGCGGCUUGUAAUGUGAGCUUCUCCAUACGCAUACUCCCUAAGAGCUUUUAGCUUUCAAGUGGACUUAUCAAGAUUUUCUAACUGCUGAGGACAAAAAGGUUGCAUGUGAAGCCUGAUCAAAUCAGCACCAGGUUCCUUCAGUCCGGGAAGCGCUGCAGGGGUGGCAUAAGGGGACAGCCAGUACAAUGACAAAGGUGAGCAAGGAAGGGACAGCUCAUCAGCCUCCUCAUCCAUCCAGUGCUGGCUCCACUGGUCACGCCACAAGAAGAGGGGGCUGGACACUUGAAUGGGCGUGCAAGGAAGCUACCAAGGCUGCCAGUUAUUAAUGACCAGCUGCUUUUUUUAACAGGCUUAUGGAGAGUGGGGAGGUGAAGUAAUAGUUGUCAGUAUUGCUGAGCUGCUGUUUAUUGUGUGUAUAGUAAGAGGAGGUUUUUUUCUUGGUAACCUUGUUUUUUGUAAUCUAUGGUAAAAAUGUUGACUGAGCAUUUAUAUGCUUUUGUAUGUCUCUUGGGAAGACAGGUAUUGCAUUUCACUUUCAAUGUGAAUUUUUUGUUCAACUGAAUUUUAUGUUGUUGAUGAUAUAUUUUUUAAACUUUGUUUUCCUUAGAAACAAAACUUGCGCGUUUUAAAAUUAUUUCCGAAAGAAAUUUUUAGUUAGAUAGACCUGAUUUCAGAAAGUGAUGGACAGAGCUAGAAAUUUUUAUGUGAGAUUGUUCUGCCAAGGUUGUGCUAGCUCUUCUUUUUUGCUGCAAUUAUUCCAAGAUAGUCUUGGGCAACUGUGGAUGUGGGAAAUUGUUUUUUGUAGCACUGCAGAUAUCAUCUCAGGUGUGCAAACUGGCAUAGUUUUCCAGAAGCAAAGAAAAGCUAUGAAAAGGUACUCCAGCCAACAUCUGAGACCAGAUAUAAUAUCGUGCUCAAGCUUAUCCUACUUUUCAUACAUAAUGCAGGAUGUAUAUGUGCACAAAUAUGUAAGUCCGCCUAAAUUUAAAAGAUUAAUUUAGCUGUGCUUUUAUUCAUAGGGUUUUCUUAACAUGACAAGAAUUAGUUAUGCUGAUUUAUUUAGUCUUUAAACCGUCUAGGCAUUAUCUAAGUAUGCUUACGUUCCACAGAAUCUAUUAGGCAAGGAAGUGGGUCAUCCUUAUUUGACUGCUGAAGUGAAGCAGUGAUUACAGGGCAGGAAGGUCAAAUGUGUAAGGCACUCACUAGAGAUUUUAAAACCUGGAGGGAAGGCGUUAGCUCUGGAUUGUAAUUUAUAAGGAUGUACACAAUGUUGGCUUACUCUGAAUAACAGUAUAAGGAAUAUAAAUUUUAUUAUCUCGAGGAGUGUAAUUUUCUACAGAUGUUGGAAUUACAUAACAAAAAAUAAAUUUAAUUGCCUGUACUCUGUGAAAGUUGCUUGACUGGAUACUGGUAAAAAUACUACGUUAUGGAGAACCAAUGAUUGAACUUCAAAGGUAAAAAAAAGAAUACUUUAACUUUUAACUGCGUAGGUUACAAACUGUAUUCAAUAAUGCAUCUGUAUUAAUUUCUAGCGAGGAUAUAUAACUAUUUUUAAUAAAUUUUUGGUUUUAUCGUCGUAGUCCUAGUUAAGUCCUAUCGCCUUAUUCCUUGUUCUCAGCUGCCAGAGAAACCUGAGUAUUUCCCACAUACCAGAAAUCUUCCGAGUAAGGUAGAACUGAUUACGUAAUUUUCUUCUGCUUUGUUUUCUUAUGAAAAACUAGUGAAGAAGCGGUAUAUGGCUAAGCUCACCUUCCAACGUUUCCUGCAGCAAGAAUUAACUUCCAUUUAAGCAGUCCCUCAGCUUAAGAAACUAGCAAAUAAAACCCCACAAAACCUAAACAAACAAAAAGCCUAUGCCUUUUGCUUGCUCAUACCGCUUCUGACAGUGGUUAAGCUCUGUCAACAAGUUGCCCAGUAAAAUUGUUGAACCUCCACUCCUGAAAAUUUUCAAAACCUGACUGGACAAGGCUCUAAUCGACCUGAUGUAACUUUUAAGUUAGCGGUUCUUUCAUCAUGAGGUCAAAUUAAAUUACAGCACCCAUCCCUUCAGCAGGAAUUUCUCCGUUCGGAGUUAAAUUAGUUAAGGAUAUGAGUUUUGCUAAUUGUGGAAACAGGUAAAGAUCCAUUCAAAUGUGGCUUAGAAGAGCUUGCUUUCUCAAGCACAGACCCUUCUUUGGGGGCUUGCUUGCAAGUUGUUUUGCUUAAAAAAUACAUUCAGCAUCCUUUCGCAAGGAACGUUGAAACCCAUCAGCAGCAGACGAGCACUUCAGGGGCCGUGUCCGUCACAAACAUGCUCCCAGCAGGUGGCUGCUGCCCCCUGCAGCCCGUCCCAGCGUCCGCGAGGAGGUGGGGAGGAAGCACCCCAAGAAACAACACGCUAACUAGGUGGGCGAUGAACGUUUUCGUGUAUCGGCAAAGGAUUUUCUUAGUGUUAGAAAUGCACUGUGAUGCAGUUAUCCUAAUGAGUAAGACAAACGGUACCUCAAGUUUAUAUCUUUAGCCAUGGGUAGGUUCAAUAGUCAAAGAUCUUAAGAGCAAAGGCUGCAGACUGGGCUGUGGAAAAACCUGGAAAUCAAUUCAAGCUUUCAGAGUGCAUUUAUAUAAUUUUUGCUAAGUGAUUCCAAUGGUGAUGCAGUUCUUCAUAUGCCAAA